CAACAGCGAUUACAAAUGACUAGAUUAUCAGCCAAACCAAAUAGUGCCCUUUUGGCAUUUAUCUCCUACGUUAGGGGUAAAACAAUGUGUGAACUGAGCCUGACACUCAUAUCUCAGUAUAAACCAUUAUAUCAUGCAGCGUCCCAUAGGGCCCGACUUCCAAUGAAACCCUGUAUUCCCUCUGGAGCCCGCUUCAACUUCAGCAAAGAUCAAGUUGUCCUAAAGUCACCAGAGGAGGGAAAUAUAGGAAUGUCUUGAAAUAAGAAAACAUGUCUCUUGAAUGACAGGAGCUCCAGAAUGUAGACUAUUUUUUGUUUGGUUGGAAGAAAAUCUGACAAAACCUUUACAGACGUCUUAAGAUUUUCUACUAAAUAUCUCUACUAGGCGGCCAUUUUCCCUGACUCCAAGGCCCAAGUGAAGUGUUGGAGCUUGAGUGUAUAUAAUGGUUCUUUUAUGCUGGUGGCUAUGUAAGUAUGGAUAUGUUUAUUUUCGACGUAUUUUUUAGUACACUUGGGACUGAAGGAAACGUACAGUUGUGGAUGAUAGAUUACAAGUAUAGCUUCUCCACCGGGGCCUAACACAACUGCCAAUAAAUUAAUCACAUGAA
Long non-coding RNA from Hyla sarda, 607 nucleotides. RefSeq lists it as uncharacterized. The transcript is spliced from 2 exons. Lineage: Eukaryota; Metazoa; Chordata; Amphibia; Anura; Hylidae. The record is from RefSeq and is a predicted model, not a curated record.